Molecule: ribosomal RNA, 253 nt
Filed under: uncultured bacterium
Lineage: Bacteria
Description: partial 16S ribosomal RNA
Rfam family: Bacterial small subunit ribosomal RNA
Source: RNAcentral
ACGUAGGGUCCAAGCGUUAUUCGGAAUUACUGGGCGUAAAGCGUUCGUAGGCGGUUUUGUAAGUUGGAUGUGAAAUCCUGUGGCUCAACCACAUGGACUGUGUCCAAAACUACAUGACUAGAGCAUAGUAGAGGCAAGUGGAAUUUCUGGUGUAGGAGUGACAUCCGUAGAUAUCAGAAGGAACACCAAUGGCGAAGGCAGCUUGCUGGGCUAUUGCUGACGCUCAGGAACGAAAGCGUGGGGAGCGAACGGG